Molecule: non-coding RNA, 334 nt
Filed under: Triticum aestivum (bread wheat)
Lineage: Eukaryota; Viridiplantae; Streptophyta; Magnoliopsida; Poales; Poaceae
Description: rRNA LSU_rRNA_eukarya
Rfam family: Eukaryotic large subunit ribosomal RNA
Source: Rfam by way of RNAcentral
CCCGCUGAGUUUAAGCAUAUAAACAAGCGAAGGAGAAGAAACUUACAAGGAUUCCCCUAGUAACGGCGAGCGAACCGGGAGCAUCCCAGCUUGAGAAUUGGGUGGCUGUGCCGUCCGAAUUGUAGUCUGGAGAGGCGUCCUCAGCGACGGAUCGGGCCCAAGUCCCCUGGAAAGGGGCGCCUGGGAGGGUGAGGGCCCUGUCCGUCCCGGACCCUGUCGCCCCACGAGGCGCUGUCAAUGAGUCGGGUUGUUUGGGAAUGCAGCCCAAAUCGGGCGGUAGACUCCGUCCAAGGCCAAAUACAGGCGAGAGACCGAUAGCACUACAAAAAAAAUA